UUAGGAUUAUAGUUCAGCUAUAAUAUAGAGUUUAUUGGAGAAAUUAUAGAGUACUUUCUAUUUUUUUAGAGUUUUACUAUGUGUCUAUUCAAAUAUAUUAGUUAUUGGUUCUUUAUUUAAAUAUAGGAAAAAUUUUGUAAUUUCAUAUUUGUUAGAAAGACCUAGAUUACUAUAGAUGUCCUUAUUCGGAGUCCUUGUUGGUUGAUGAUUACUUCUUGGGAUUAUCAUGUUUGUAAUUUUGUUGGAAAGUUUUGAUUGAUACUAAUUCUAGCAAAUUAUACUUUGAGUUGUGUGACGGAAUUCAAUCCUAGGUGUGACACUUGUGAACUUUGGAUGAUGCCGAAGGAAGUUUAGAUGUGAAGCUUAAACUAUUCUAUUGUUCGAUUUGCCUAAUUCAAUCUUGCAAACAACCCUGAAAACCCUAACUCUUGUACUAAUUUCACUUCCCAAACCUAUACACUUCAAAACCUUAUAUAUUACUAUUCACAGUCCAUGAAUAUUCUCUUCCUGUUUAAUUUCUCUUUUCAGUUCCAUCCUUUCACAAACCCUUAAUUCUUCACCUAAAUUCCCAAUCUUUUUAGCCUUUACAAAGCCUCCAAUUUCAACAUUAAUUCUUCGACCUGUAGGAUGUCCUACAUCAGUUUGGUAUCAAAGCUUCAAGAUCCUUGAAGUUUAUGCUUUGUCUUUACAACCAUGGUGAUG
RNAcentral lists this unclassified non-coding RNA (702 nucleotides) under Hevea brasiliensis (rubber tree). Lineage: Eukaryota; Viridiplantae; Streptophyta; Magnoliopsida; Malpighiales; Euphorbiaceae. The record is from RNAcentral.